Molecule: transfer RNA, 75 nt
Filed under: Deltaproteobacteria bacterium
Lineage: Bacteria; Pseudomonadati; Myxococcota; Myxococcia
Also listed under: 1 other name
Description: tRNA-Val
Rfam family: tRNA
About the family: Transfer RNA (tRNA) molecules are approximately 80 nucleotides in length.
Source: RNAcentral
GGGCGGAUAGCUCAGCGGGAGAGCAUCGGCCUUACAAGCCGGGGGUCGCAGGUUCAAAUCCUGUUCCGCCCACCA